Long non-coding RNA from Xenia sp. Carnegie-2017, 494 nucleotides. RefSeq lists it as uncharacterized. NCBI's taxonomy places the organism in Eukaryota, Metazoa, Cnidaria, Anthozoa, Malacalcyonacea, Xeniidae. The transcript is spliced from 6 exons. The record is from RefSeq and is a predicted model, not a curated record.
GAGAAUAGACGAAAGAAAGAUGAGUUGGAGUUAGCACUGAAAAAGAACAACCAACUGUUGGCGAAAAAAGAAGAUGAAUUGCAUAGCACUCGUAAAGAUCUUGAACAAGUUAGAGAAGAAGAAAAAAAAUUGAGACAGGAUUAUUAUCGUAUUUUGUCCUUAAACAAACAACUUGAGGAGGAAAAUAAACAAAAGAAAGAUGAGUUGGAAUUAACGCUGAAAAAGAACAACCAACUGCUUGCAAACAAAGAAGAUGAAUUGCAUAGCAUUCGUAAAGAUCUUGAAAAAGUUGGAGGAGAAGAAAAAAAAUUGGGACAGGAUUAUAAUAGUAUUUUGUUGUUAAACAAGCAACUUGAGGAGGAGAAUAGACGAAAAAAAGAUGAACUGGAAGUAGCAGCAAAAAAGAACAUCCAACAGCUGUCAAAGAACGAAAAUGAAUUACAUGGCGCUCGUAAAGAUCUUGAACAAGUUAGAGAAGAAGAAAAAAAAUUGAG